ACUAGCAGUAAGAGUUUGAUCCUGGCUCAGGACGAACGCUGGCGGCACGCCUAACACAUGCAAGUCGAACGGCCCCUUCGGGGGCAGUGGCGGACGGGUGAGUAACGCGUGGGAACCUGCCCCUUGGUUCGGGACAACCCGGGGAAACCCGGGCUAAUACCGGAUGCGCUCCUGGCUUUGGCUGGGAGGAAAGAUUGAUCGCCGAGGGAUGGGCCCGCGUCGGAUUAGGUUGUUGGUGAGGUAACGGCUCACCAAGCCUACGAUCCGUAGCUGGUCUGAGAGGAUGAUCAGCCACACUGGGACUGAGACACGGCCCAGACUCCUACGGGAGGCAGCAGUGGGGAAUCUUGGACAAUGGACGCAAGUCUGAUCCAGCGAUGCCGCGUGAGCGAUGAAGGCCUUAGGGUUGUAAAGCUCUUUCGCCCGCGACGAUGAUGACGGUAGCGGGAGAAGAAGCCCCGGCUAACUUCGUGCCAGCAGCCGCGGUAAUAC
RNAcentral lists this ribosomal RNA (492 nucleotides) under uncultured bacterium. Its description in RNAcentral is "bacterial SSU rRNA". It matches the Rfam family "Bacterial small subunit ribosomal RNA", at positions 1 to 526 of the family's 1533-position model. The record is from RNAcentral.